Molecule: transfer RNA, 73 nt
Filed under: Fervidobacterium sp.
Lineage: Bacteria; Thermotogati; Thermotogota; Thermotogae; Thermotogales; Fervidobacteriaceae
Also listed under: 1 other name
Description: tRNA-Ile
Rfam family: tRNA
About the family: Transfer RNA (tRNA) molecules are approximately 80 nucleotides in length. Their secondary structure includes four short double-helical elements and three loops (D, anti-codon, and T loops).
Source: RNAcentral
UGGCGUGUAGCUCAGCGGCUAGAGCGUUUGGUGAAUAGCCAGGAGGUCGCCGGUUCGAGUCCGGCCACGUCAA